ACGUAGGUGGCGAGCGUUAUUCGGAUUUACUGGGCGUAAAGGGUUCGUAGGGGGUUUGUCAAGUCUGAUGUGAAAUCCCGCGGCUCAACCGCGGACGUGCAUUGGAUACUGCCGAACUAGAGUUCUUGAUGGGAAAGCGGAAUUCCAGGUGUAGCGGUGGAAUGCGUAGAUAUCUGGAAGAACACCGGUGGCGAAGGCGGCUUUCUGGCAAGACACUGACCCUGAUGGACGAAAGCGUGGGUAGCAAACAGG
Molecule: ribosomal RNA, 252 nt
Filed under: uncultured bacterium
Lineage: Bacteria
Description: partial 16S ribosomal RNA
Rfam family: Bacterial small subunit ribosomal RNA
Source: RNAcentral